UUGUCCUACGGGACGCAGCAGUGAGGAAUAUUGGUCAAUGGGCGCGAGCCUGAACCAGCCAAGUCGCGUGAAGGAUGACUGCCCUACGGGUUGUAAACUUCUUUUAUAAAGGAAUAAAGUGCGCCACGUGUGCCUUUUUGUAUGUACUUUAUGAAUAAGGAUCGGCUAACUCCGUGCCAGCAGCCGCGGUAAUACGGAGGAUCCGAGCGUUAUCCGGAUUUAUUGGGUUUAAAGGGAGCGUAGAUGGGUUGUUAAGUCAGUUGUGAAAGUUUGCGGCUCAACCGUAAAAUUGCA
Molecule: ribosomal RNA, 294 nt
Filed under: uncultured bacterium
Lineage: Bacteria
Description: partial 16S ribosomal RNA
Rfam family: Bacterial small subunit ribosomal RNA
Source: RNAcentral